Molecule: long non-coding RNA, 547 nt
Filed under: Felis catus (domestic cat)
Lineage: Eukaryota; Metazoa; Chordata; Mammalia; Carnivora; Felidae
Description: lncRNA (ENSFCAG00000043695.2)
Source: RNAcentral
AUGUUGGAGAGAGAGAAUGGUGGGAAGCUUUGGAUGGAGAUGAUGGUGUUGACGAAGAGACAAGCCUUUCCGGUGCCUCUCAGAGCAUGUCAGGGUUGCCAGUUCCUUUCACUUAAACAGAUAGCUGCUCCUCAGGACUCGGACCUCCACUUGGCAAUGUUCUCUGGGACGGGAAAUUGGAAGAUCGUAAGCUAGGUAAUAGCCAAAAUAUUGUUUAAUAGAUAAUUCGCUAUUACAUGAUUACCUCUUACUAGACAUUGGAUGAAUACGUGGCCACUUAAGAAGCAACUAGAACUUUGUUUCUCUUCUUCUCUCCAAAAGGCAAAAAGAGAGAAGAGACUUGGUCCACCAUUUAUUGCACUGAGCACAAACAGGAACUGAAACCAAACCUAGUGUCUCCUCCCAUACAGACUAGACGAAACAGACAUGUAUCAGAGGAGCAGAAGCCAUGUAAUGAAAAAAGUGGAAAGUAAUAGGUUUGAUUUUGAUGUGAAGUAUUUUGCAGAUACCCCAAGUCAAAAUUAAUAGCAGUUAAAAUGACAGAUGU